UUAAGUAAGGAAGGGCGUACGGAGGAUGCCUGGCCACUCCAGAGUGAAGAAGGACGCGCCAAACUGCGAAAAGCGUCGGCGAGCUGUAAGGAAGCGACGACCCGGCGGUGUCCGAAUGGGGGAACCCGGCAGCCAUCAUCGGCUGUCAUCCAUGACUGAAUCCAUAGGUUAUGGAGAGGUACCCGGGGAACUGAAACAUCUAAGUACCCGGAGGAAAAGAAAACAAGAGUGAUUCCCUGAGUAGCGGCGAGCGAAAGGGGAGCAGCCCAAACCGGUCCUUGGACCGGGGUUGUAGGACCGCGACACGGCAAGAACGAGGAUAGGAGAACACGAUUGAAAGCGUGACCGAAGAGGGUGCAAGUCCCGUAACCGAAAUCCGAGUGAAGCCCAGCGGGAUCCUGAGUACGGCGAGACACGAGGAAUCUUGUCGGAAGCAGGCAGGACCAUCUGCCAAGGCUAAAUAUCCAGGGAGUGAGCGAUAGCGGACCAGUACCGUGAGGGAAAGGUGAAAAGAACCGCGGGAGCGGAGUGAAAGAGAACCUGAAACCGUAUGCCUACAAGAAGUCAGAGCCCGUUAAAGGGUGAUGGCGUGCCUUUUGUAGAAUGAACCGGCGAGUUACGAUGGACUGCGAGGUUAAGCGGGAAAACGCGGAGCCGAAGCGAAAGCGAGUCUGAAUAGGGCCGAAGUAGGACAUCGUAGACCCGAAACCGGGUGAUCUAGCCAUGAGCAGGUUGAAGUUGAGGUGAAACUCAAUGGAGGACCGAACCGACCACCGUUGAAAAGUUGGCGGAUGACUUGUGGCUAGGGGAGAAAUUCCAAUCGAACCCGGAGAUAGCUGGUUCUCCCCGAAAUAGCUUUAGGGCUAGCGUCGGAAAGAACUUGUGCGGAGGUAGAGCACUGAAUGUGUGAUGGCCCCAUCCCGGGGUACUGAAUAUAAUCAAACUCCGAAUGCCGCAUGAGAUGUCCGGCAGUCAGACCGUGAGUGAUAAGGUCCAUGGUCAAGAGGGAAACAGCCCAGACCGCCAGCUAAGGUCCCGAAAUACAGGCUAAGUGGAAAAGGAUGUGGGGAUGCCCAGACAACUAGGAGGUUGGCUCAGAAGCAGCCAUCCUUCAAAGAGUGCGUAACAGCUCACUAGUCGAGUGACCCUGCGCCGAAAAUGUACCGGGGCUAAGCCUGAUACCGAAGCUGCGGAUUUGAAUAUGAUUCAAGUGGUAGGGGAGCGUUGCAUACAGGUAGAAGCCGUACCGUGAGGAACGGUGGACCGUAUGGAAGUGAGAAUGCCGGUGUGAGUAGCGAGAUGUAGGUGAGAAUCCUACACACCGAAAGCCCAAGGAUUCCAGGGGAAGGUUCGUCCGCCCUGGGUAAGUCGGGACCUAACGCGAGGCCGAGAGGCGUAGUGGAUGGCAAGCAGGCGGAAAUUCCUGCACCCGUACAUGGAGCGAAGGAGUGACGGAGAAGGCUAGUAUGACCCUCUUAACGGAUUGAGGGCGAAGCGGGGUACCUGAUGGUUAGGCAAAUCCGGCCAUCGAAAGGGGAAGACGUGACAGGUAAGCGAACGUUUCGGCAAGUAGCGAAGCAUAUGAGGCCAGCUUCCAAGAAAAGCUUCUAAGCCUAUGCAUGUGCGGCCCGUACCAAAACCGACACAGGUGGGCAGGGAGAGUAUCCCGAGGUGAGCGAGAGAACUGUUGCCAAGGAACUCGGCAAAAUGGCUCCGUACGUUCGCAAGAAGGAGCGCUCAUGAAGAGUGAGCCGCAGUGAAGAGGCCCAAGCGACUGUUUAACUAAAACACAGCUCUCUGCGAAGUCGCAAGACGAAGUAUAGGGGGUGACACCUGCCCGGUGCCGGAAGGUUAAGAGGAUCUGUCAAUCGCAAGAUGAAGCAGUGAGUUGAAGCCCCGGUGAACGGCGGCCGUAACUAUAACGGUCCUAAGGUAGCGAAAUUCCUUGUCAGGUAAGUUCUGACCCGCACGAAAGGCGU
Molecule: ribosomal RNA, 1979 nt
Filed under: human gut metagenome
Description: bacterial LSU rRNA
Rfam family: Bacterial large subunit ribosomal RNA
Source: RNAcentral